RNAcentral lists this ribosomal RNA (472 nucleotides) under uncultured organism. RNAcentral describes it as "partial 16S ribosomal RNA". It matches the Rfam family "Bacterial small subunit ribosomal RNA", at positions 333 to 797 of the family's 1533-position model. The record is from RNAcentral.
ACACUCCUACGGGAGGCAGCAGUGGGGAAUUUUGGACAAUGGGCGAAAGCCUGAUCCAGCAAUGCCGCGUGAGUGAAGAAGGCCUUCGGGUUGUAAAGCUCUUUUGUCAGGGAAGAAACGGUGAGAGCUAAUAUCUUUUGCUAAUGACGGUACCUGAAGAAUAAGCACCGGCUAACUACGUGCCAGCAGCCGCGGUAAUACGUAGGGUGCAAGCGUUAAUCGGAAUUACUGGGCGUAAAGCGUGCGCAGGCGGUUUUGUAAGUCUGAUGUGAAAUCCCCGGGCUCAACCUGGGAAUUGCAUUGGAGACUGCAAGGCUAGAAUCUGGCAGAGGGGGGUAGAAUUCCACGUGUAGCAGUGAAAUGCGUAGAUAUGUGGAGGAACACCGAUGGCGAAGGCAGCCCCCUGGGUCAAGAUUGACGCUCAUGCACGAAAGCGUGGGGAGCAAACAGGAUUAGAUACCCCUGUAGUCCC